RNAcentral lists this ribosomal RNA (600 nucleotides) under uncultured bacterium. RNAcentral's name for it is "bacterial SSU rRNA". It matches the Rfam family "Bacterial small subunit ribosomal RNA", at positions 731 to 1337 of the family's 1533-position model. The record is from RNAcentral.
GGGGUGCAACUGACGCUGAGGCUCGAAAGUGCGGGUAUCAAACAGGAUUAGAUACCCUGGUAGUCCGCACAGUAAACGAUGAAUACUCGCUGUCGGCGAUAUACUGUCGGCGGCCAAGCGAAAGCAUUAAGUAUUCCACCUGGGGAGUACGCCGGCAACGGUGAAACUCAAAGGAAUUGACGGGGGCCCGCACAAGCGGAGGAACAUGUGGUUUAAUUCGAUGAUACGCGAGGAACCUUACCCGGGCUUGAACUGCACCCGACGGACGGAGAGAUCCGUCUUCCGCAAGGCGGGUGUGGAGGUGCUGCAUGGUUGUCGUCAGCUCGUGCCGUGAGGUGUCGGCUUAAGUGCCAUAACGAGCGCAACCCUUCUCUUCAGUUGCCAUCAGGUUAAGCUGGGCACUCUGGAGACACUGCCAUCGUAAGAUGCGAGGAAGGUGGGGAUGACGUCAAAUCAGCACGGCCCUUACGUCCGGGGCUACACACGUGUUACAAUGGGAGGUACAGAAGGCCGCGACCCGGCGACGGGAAGCCAAUCCCCAAAUCCUCUCUCAGUUCGGACUGGAGUCUGCAACCCGACUCCACGAAGCUGGAUUCGCUA